RNAcentral lists this ribosomal RNA (499 nucleotides) under uncultured bacterium. RNAcentral's name for it is "partial 16S ribosomal RNA". It matches the Rfam family "Bacterial small subunit ribosomal RNA", at positions 29 to 523 of the family's 1533-position model. The record is from RNAcentral.
AUUGAACGCUGGCGGCAUGCCUUACACAUGCAAGUCGAACGGCAGCACGGGAGCAAUCCUGGUGGCGAGUGGCGAACGGGUGAGUAAAGCAUCGGAACGUACCUGGUAGUGGGGGAUAGCCCGGCGAAAGCCGGAUUAAUACCGCAUACGACCUGAGGGUGAAAGCGGGGGAUCGCAAGACCUCGCGCUAUUGGAGCGGCCGAUGUCAGAUUAGCUAGUUGGUGGGGUAAAGGCCUACCAAGGCGACGAUCUGUAGCUGGUCUGAGAGGACGCACAGCCACACUGGGACUGAGACCCGGCCCAGACUCCUACGGGAGGCAGCAGUGGGGAAUUUUGGACAAUGGCGCAAGCCUGAUCCAGCCAUGCCGCGUGCGGGAAGAAGGCCUUCGGGUUGUAAACCGCUUUUGUCAGGGAAGAAAUCUUCUGGGUUAAUACCUCGGGAGGAUGACGGUACCUGAAGAAUAAGCACCGGCUAACUACGUGCCAGCAGCCGCCGUAA